Molecule: ribosomal RNA, 722 nt
Filed under: uncultured Fusobacterium sp.
Lineage: Bacteria; Fusobacteriati; Fusobacteriota; Fusobacteriia; Fusobacteriales; Fusobacteriaceae
Description: bacterial SSU rRNA
Rfam family: Bacterial small subunit ribosomal RNA
Source: RNAcentral
GAUGAACGCUGACAGAAUGCUUAACACAUGCAAGUCAACUUGAACUUCGGUUUGGGUGGCGGACGGGUGAGUAACGCGUAAAGAACUUGCCUCACAGAUAGGGACAACAUUUGGAAACGAAUGCUAAUACCUGAUAUUAUGAUUUUAGGGCAUCCUAGGAUUAUGAAAGCUAUAUGCGCUGUGAGAGAGCUUUGCGUCCCAUUAGCUAGUUGGAGAGGUAACGGCUCACCAAGGCGAUGAUGGGUAGCCGGCCUGAGAGGGUGAUCGGCCACAAGGGGACUGAGACACGGCCCUUACUCCUACGGGAGGCAGCAGUGGGGAAUAUUGGACAAUGGACCAAGAGUCUGAUCCAGCAAUUCUGUGUGCACGAUGAAGUUUUUCGGAAUGUAAAGUGCUUUCAGUUGGGAAGAAAAAAAUGACGGUACCAACAGAAGAAGUGACGGCUAAAUACGUGCCAGCAGCCGCGGUAAUACGUAUGUCACAAGCGUUAUCCGGAUUUAUUGGGCGUAAAGCGCGUCUAGGUGGUUAUGUAAGUCUGAUGUGAAAAUGCAGGGCUCAACUCUGUAUUGCGUUGGAAACUGUGUAACUAGAGUACUGGAGAGGUAAGCGGAACUACAAGUGUAGAGGUGAAAUUCGUAGAUAUUUGUAGGAAUGCCGAUGGGGAAGCCAGCUCACUGGACAGAUACUGACGCUGAAGCGCGAAAGCGUGGGUAGCAAACAGG